Lepus europaeus (European hare) is the source of this 839-nucleotide long non-coding RNA. RefSeq lists it as uncharacterized. Lineage: Eukaryota; Metazoa; Chordata; Mammalia; Lagomorpha; Leporidae. The transcript has 7 exons. The record is from RefSeq and is a predicted model, not a curated record.
GGGGCCCUCUGGGCUCCCGGCUGCCCUUUCCCCUGCGGCCUCUGCCGAGGAUGGCUCGCCCCGCGGAGCUGCGGACACGUGUGGGAUGACUUGAAGGUAGUGCAUGCUAAAUCCUGCAGAGAGGAAAUAAUGACCAGGGUACAGUCUGCACGUGAAGUUCACAGAUGCCAUCUCCUGUGUGAGAACCCUGGCCCUGUUGGCACCUCAGCUGCCUGACAAUACUUGGUGAGACCCAGAGGAAACUGGAAUUAGAUGGUCAAGAUGACUGAUCUAGAAAUAUCAAAGCUGUCAACUGCCAUAGGUAGCAAUUAAUAAACACAAGUGCCUGUCCUGGUUGCACCAGACAAGUCUCAAGUCCCAGGCCUAUAACGCAUGAACAGGAAAAAAAAUUUUUAAGUUUUACAAUGGUGUGAAAGCAAUGUGCAAAUCUAUUUGAGAGAAACGACAGGCUCACAUUGAUUGCUUCACUCCCCAAGCCAAAUCCAGGGAUGUAACCUCAUCGUGAGUCAAGGAGCAUCUGUAGUUAAGUUUUGUAUGAUGAAAAUAGUUAACGGAUUUAUUUGUGGCUGUGUUGUGGAGUAGUAGGCGAAUCCUCCAUCUGUGGUACAUGGGCACUGGUUCGUAUCCCAACUGCUGCUCUACCGAUCCAGCUCUGCUUGCGGCCUGGGAAAGCAGUAGGAGAUGGCCCAAGUCCUUGGGCCCCUGCACACACGUGGGAGACCCAGAAGAAGAUCCUGGCUUCAGAUUAGCUCAGCUCAAACUGUACUGGCCAUUUGGUGGGGGUGACUUUCUGUCUCUCCUCUCUGUAACUUGCCUCUCAAAUAAAUAAAUCUUUAAAA